Callithrix jacchus (white-tufted-ear marmoset) is the source of this 8873-nucleotide non-coding RNA. Lineage: Eukaryota; Metazoa; Chordata; Mammalia; Primates; Cebidae. The record is from RefSeq and is a predicted model, not a curated record.
GAACCCCAGGUCCUGAGCAUGCUCUUUGAGGAGGGGGUUCUGACAGAGUAGGAAGUGGGCCGUGGGGGUCACCGCUGUUCCCACGUCACCACAGUGAAAGCCUGCUAGGAAACACACACCAGAAAUGGGAUAUACUCUAGAAAACACAAAGAAGGAUGUUUCAGAGCAAACUAAAAGGGUAACCACCACAGAAAACUACCAACACGGAUUUUUAUACAAGGCUCUGUGGGGUGCUGUGCCAGUUAUCAAGCUGCCAUCCCUGAGCUUCGUGCCUGCACUCAUCACUUCACUCUGCAAUACUAUGGCUGGUGCCCUGCAAACAGCAUCGCUGCUCUGCCAGCUGCGCCCACUCGGCCCUGCAGUAGACGACCAAAAGGGAGGUGGUAGAGCUCGGGGUGUCAGUCUUCCUGUUUGCUUCCUCUUCAGCCAGUACCAUCCCAUCCUCACCUCUUCACCUCAAAUGUGCUGGUGUGUUCCAGGAGCAGAAUUUGAGUCCAGUGUGCUAUUUACACUUGCUCCCCCGGCUGGCCACUGCCUCCAUCAGGCUUCUGCGUCCGGCUCCAGGAGCCUCUGGAGCCUCUGGCCCCAGCCUGAGCACAGGAGGUUGGGGGGGGCCCCCUCAGAGGGCUGAGUUCCAUGUGGUCCCUCCUCUCCCCUUUGUUCCCCACCUCUGACCUCUCAGAUGUCUUAGCAGUCCCUUCUUGCCAUUUAAUGCACAGUUCUUUAUGUUAAAUUAUUUUCAUUUAAAAAUAGGCAUGGUUUUUGUCUACACUUAACAAAAUCUGACACCCAUUUCUGAUAUUUAAAAAUGUUCAGUUAAGAAAGAAUUGUCAGAUACUUCCCUGACAUGAUUUCGUAGAUAAACCAACUCCACCCUAAAGCCAGCAUCUUACUAAAUGGGGAGCGGAGUUUCCCCACAAGGGCACUGUGUUUGGGGUUGUAGCCAGGGCAAGAGAAAGAACAAGCUCUUCACUCCAAAUUCUGACCUAAAACAGUGGAGGAGAUACUGUUACAGGGAAAAGAACCAAGAGCAUGAUGGGAAAUACAGUGCAGAACUUUUGGGUAAGAAAGAAGGAGAAACACACAUAUAACUGUAUCUCCUUAUAUUUUUGAAAAGAAAUGCUCAAAAAGCAAACCAAAAACAAUUGUUUUUAAUUGGUUACAUAAAGGGGGAAGGAGAAACAAGGUAGUGAGGAUAGGAAUGCAAGGUAGACUUCUCAGAAGACACCUACAGAGUUUUGACUUUGGAAACAAAAUGUUUUACAUACUAAAAAACAAAGAUGAAACUCAUUUCUAAAUUCAUAUGAAUUCAGUUUCCAAAACAAUUCCCAAACCAAUCUGAAAUACAAAGAAAAGACUUACUUCUAGAGACUUGUAAAAAUUGUUAACAGCGAAGAGUCAACGAUGUGCCAGUUACCAAGCGAAAAUCCAAAACAGAGUUCCCUGAAGAAUCCACAUCAGAAAAUGGCUCCCCAGGCUGCACGAGUCCCUCCACUCAGUUCCAGGUUUAAGUUCUCAAGAGAUGCAUCUCACUGGCAGGACAUGCAACCCACCUGGGAUCCCAGCCACAAUGACAACUGGAAAAUACGGUUUUUCAGCUUUCUCUGAUCUGCACCCAGGACUGCAUAUCAGCCACAGAUUAGAAACGAACUAAGCACUUCAAUCCAAAGUAUCUGUCAGCUGGUAAGCUCAGGCCUUUUGAACAUCUUCCAUUUACCUCUUGAAGAUUUGGAACACAAGAAUUUUCUAGGAAACUCAUCCUGAAAAUCAAUAACAGGAUGAUACCAUGUAACUAACGUGUCUUAUGUCUUUAACCAGGGCCAAUGUUUAGAGGCUUUGAGGAAAAAGACUGUGUCUCAAUUAGCCAGUGUGCCCUAGAUAGCACCAGGGCAAGCAUGACCACACACACAAUCCUACCGUGGCUGUAGUUCCAAUCACACAAGGAGGGCUCUCAAUUGAAAAGAAAGGCAUAUACAUUUGCCUUCUAAAUAAUCCCAAGCAAUUAUCCUGCCUCAGCCUCCCAAGUAGCUGGGAUUACAGGUGCCCAUCACCACUCCCAGCUAAUUUUGCAUUUUUAGUAGAGACAGGGUUUCCAUGUUGACCAGGCUUGUUUCGAACUCCUAACCUCAAGUGAUCCACCAGCCUCAGCCUCCCAAAGUGCUGGAAUUACAGACAAGAGCCACUGUGCCCUGCCGGCUGAUGAAUUUCUUAGUUCAACUUCCUGGUCCAGCAAAUUCUCUCAUUGCAUAAUGCGUGCAGUGUUCUGCAAUUCCAGUCUUGCUCUACUUGUGGCUAUGUACCUCAGACAAGGUUUUUAACCUCCCUGCGCCAAGAUCUCCUCUUGUAAAACAAAGGUAGCAAGUGUUCCUCACAUUUUUUAUGAAGAUCAAAUGAGUUAAUAAAAAUCAAGUGCUUUCAAGAGCGUCCGGCACUUAUGAAGUGCUUCACAAUUGCUAUUAUUCUUUUCAUUAUGUUUAUUACUAUUGGUACUCUCCAAUGCCAGCAGAGAGCAAGAUAGCAAUGAUUCUAGACACAUUUAGUAUUCAUAAUCACAAACACUGGCAGAUUACCUGCAGUCUGAGAUAAUAUUUCUCCUUUGGAAAAAAAUCUUCGCUAUAUAGCAAAGAUUCUGUAGCAAAUAUGAUAACAUGAUGAAUCCUUUAUUAAUGUUUAUAGGGGAAAAAGAAAGAAAAUCAUUUUCUGAACAGUAGAAUUUUGAACUAAGAACAGCUAGGUCUGAACAUCCUUCAUGGCUCAGAAGUGACAGACCACCCUGAUGGCAUCCUCCUUGAACAGGUCACAGGCUGAGCAUCCAAACCAUGCAGUCAGCAGUUUAGAGGCAAGGGAGCCUUCAACACAGAAAUAAAAUUCAUGUAAAUAAGGAGUGAGGGGCAGAGCCUGUUGCCUAACACUCUAGAUCCUGAUGCCUCCAAAUGCAGGAAUUGCACAGAUGAGAAGAGAGGGAAGAAAGACACAGAGUGGAUCUCGCUAUCACUGGGCAGGGAGCAGGCUGGGGAGGACAGAGUGGAAAAAGUCUGGUCGUUUCUGCAAAAUGGUAUUUAUGUUUGUCCACUGUGCUAGCCAUAGUCCUUUUCCUGUGGCUAUUUCUUACAAGAUGGAACUAAAAGACCAGUACAUAGAAAUAACCUUUAAAGGAUUUAAAGAUCACAGGCAAAAGUUCAGAUGACAUACCACGUUCAGACUGAUGAUAAGGAAACCUUUCCCGAUAGAGACCUCAGCCUCUUUAGAACUUCACAUCUUAGAAUAAUGAAUGAGGAGCAAAACUCUAAGUAAAGCAAAUCAUUUUUGCAAUUACAUAGACUUUGCCAGAACAACUGUGAAGAAACUGAAUCAAUAAUAUUCGACUCUAAAAGCUUUUUUUUCUCCACCAACUACCACAGAUAAUUUUAUAGAGGACAAAAUUUCCAGCCAAAAUAACUAAAUAUUUUCUUUACCACCUGGCAUGCUGCCUCUUCCAGCAUGUGUGGUACAUUACUAGAAGUUUCUCUGCAGAAUAAAGUUGCCCUCUGGGAGCUGGGUGCAUGGGUUGGUGGUAGGAGCUACUCUGGACCUAGUUUGGUCACCUGUCAAGGAAAGCAAGCAUCAGGAAACAGGCUGAGUGAGGAACCAUGGUGAAGCCAUGUUUGCAGGAAACAGACAGUCUGUGAGGUAGGAGAUUUGAAAGAAGAAAAAGAAACCAUAUUGUGCGUGGCUUCUAUUCUUGCUGGGCUAAGACGAAGUAAAGAAGUAGUGGCCAAAAAGUAAAAAGUAACAAGAAAGAGACAAGAAAAAGAGAGAUACCAACAGCCCAGUAGAAAACUGAGCGAAACAACAUGAACAGUUCAGAGAAACAAAAGUGCAAAUGCUUUCAAAUAUGGGAAUGGAUUUCAAUCUCACUCUUAAAAGAAAGGCAGUGCUAUUCUUCACUUAGCAAGUUGGCAAAAUUCAAAAGCUGUGAUGGCAAACUGUAUGAGUGAGGUACCAGGAGAUCAACACUCUCCUGGAUAUGGCAAGUGGGAGUGCAGGUGUACAAGCUCAGAGGAGGGCAGGCUGGCAACAGCGCUCAGGACGGGAAGUGUUUGAUUCAGGGACACCACUUCUACAAAGUGAAAAACUGAGGUUUUUUUUUAAUAAGUCUGAAAACAAUUUAAAUGCUCACAAUAGGGGACUGAAUAAAUUAUGAUGUCAUCAUACAGUAGAAUAUUAUAAAAGUUUGUAAAGAAGCAGGUCUAUACUGAUUUGGAAGGCUCUCCAAGGUCCAGAGUCAAGUUCAAAAGGAAAGGAAGGGCCACAAAAGUACCUUGCUGUGCUACCACUUGCACACAAAAGCUCUGAACAAAUACAGGGGUGCUGUAGGCCAGGAGGACACCUCUGGAAGCUGGUGGCAAGGGCUGCCUGGAGGGAGAGGAAAAUAGUAAAGCAAGAGAUACACAAACCCAUUAAAAACUGUGAAGUGUGUCUGGUGUCUGUGUAGAUGUGUACACAUAAAUAGAAAUGUUGACCAUUCCCACAGGCUUGAGCUGUGCUCUCCUUGUAUUUUAAGAUUAUGGGUGACUUUUAUCUUCUUCCUUGUAGUGUUUCUUGAGUUCGUAAAUAUUUCACAGUGAAAUUAGAUGCUUUUUUAAAAAAAAUGAUUUUUCCUUCUAAAAUUCUCUGUUAUGUCCACAAAACAAAAUAUGUAGGCCGGGCACAGUGGCUCAUGCCUGUAAUUGCAGCACUUUGGGAGGCUGAGGUGGGUGGAUAACCUGAGGUCAGGAGUUCAAGACCAACCUGGCCAACAUGGUGAAACCCCAUCUCUAUUCAAAAUCAAAAAAAAAAAAUUAACUAGGCGUGGUGGUGAGCACCUGUAAUCCCAGCUACUCAGGAGGCUGAAUCACUUGAACCCAGGAGGCAGAGGUUGCAGUGAGCCAGGAUCACACCACUGCACUCCAGCCUGGACAACAUAGUGAUACUCUAUCUCAAAAAAAAAAGAAAAACUUUGUCAGUUAAUUUAGUCAAACAAGCCUUUUGAUUGUGGCAUUCUCAAGAGCACAGUGGGAUUGGAGCUGGAAUUCCCAGCUCUGCCUUCAGAAGAAAGUCAGGCUCACCACAGGCCUGGGGAGCCCGGCACCCAGCAGCCCCACCCUCCCUGUAUUCCACCAGGACCCAUGGAGGGUCAGAGGCAGGGCGGGAGAUCUGGGGACAGAGUUCCACUUAUUGUCUCUCUCAGGUGAAGUCCUCCCAAACAGUGCUUUCGGAAUUGAAGACUUGGAGCUAUUUUGGUUGCAUUCUUGGCCCUGAGAGACAGGUUUCCUGUUAAUACUGUUUUGACUGAGAUUGUUUGGGCCUCUCCAGCAGGAGACCAGAUUUAGAUCAAACGCACAGGAUCCUCCUGCUGCAACCAGAAAGGCCUGGGACACCCAGGGAAGUCCGAGUCCCCACUGUUAGAGGGUGGGAAAGGGGACCGGGGUGCUUUCUCUGCUGCCCCAGGAGGCCCUGCUGGAGUUAUGCCCACCCGCCCGGAGCCACAGAAAGUCCAGGAGGCUAGGCCAGCAGCAUGGAGGUCAAAGCAUCCCAGGCCAUCUGCUGAAGGCAGGUCCCCCAUCUGAGGCCCAGUGCCCGGAUGAAGAGGCUCACACAGUCAUACUAGAGCACCAGCCCUCACACAGGGCUGUUUAGGGCCUACCACUGGUCAGCCACCUUUUGGAGUUGAUGCCGGGAAUAUGGAGCCAAGGCCAGACCUCAGAGGCAGGGUCUGUCCUAGCCUCUCAGACCUAACCUGGCAGAUGCUUUCACACAGGCAGAAAGAGAGGCUGAGGGAGACCUUGAACAUCCCAGGGCCCAAGGGCACUUCAUUCUCAAAGGAAGGGAAGAAAAGGGCAGGCCUGCCUGUCCAAUCCGGGGGUACAGAGAGGGACCCCAGCAUAUGCAGCAUGGCGGAGAGGGCUGUCUGGAGAUGGCUCUCAGGUGCACCAUGCCCAGGCUGGAGGGGCCUCCAAAGCAGGCAGGAGGGUACCAUCUGGUAACCCGAGUCCCGGGAUAGUUGAGUGACCAGGGUCUAAGCAGAACCUACCCUUUAUUCCAUAUUUGUAAUCCAUGUUCCCUUUGUGAAGCUGGGGAAGUGGCUGCAGCAUCUGAAUUAUGGCCUUGACCUUUUCACAAGAGCCAGUAAUGGCUGCAGUGAAAGCUUCAGCAGAGCCUGCCCGUCACCUGCUGACAUGUGGUUUUGGGAAAAGCCGGACUUAUUUGUUUCCAAAGCUUUUUCCUCCGAAUCUUUGGUCAUGGACCUGGGAACUGGCAUCUGCCAUCUCUUUCCUAAUGUGACCUUAAAUCAUAGAAGUGACUGUGGGAAAGUGGCCUGGAAAGAGGCUGUGACUCUGUUGCCAGAGGCUGGAAGCUGGUAAACAACCCCGUGAGGCCUGAGGCACAGUUCCUUUCCCCGAAACUGGAGGAAUGCGGCCCAAGGGUCUUCUCCCAUUGUAGAUGACACUCUGGGGAGACACGUCUCCAAGUGUGGCAAGAGUCCCCCCACUUCAUUACAAAGUUAAUGAAAGAAAACCACGUGUUCACAAAACAGCCUUUUCCUGACAAUCCUGAGUCACUGCACCGUCAUUCUGAAAGUCAGAGAAGCAUCCAUGCUCCACUUAAGCAGAAGGCAGAAGUAAUGUGGAAAGGUAGACGGAAUUCCGUUUUAGAGAAAUGGUCUUGCAACAUGUAUGUAAGUGAAAAUGCAUUUUUACCUGACGUAACUCUUCAAGUCAGCAGUCCUCACUCGAAGCCAGGAGCACGAUGAACUCACCCAAAAGCUUUGACAGUAUGCUGAUGCCUGGGCCUCACCCAGACCAAUUAAACCAGGAUCUGGGGAGAAAGGGGUACUCAGGUAUCUGUGUCUAUCUCCCAGAUUAUCUCAAUAUCCAGUUAGGAUUAAGAAGCACUGGUAGAUCUGAACUUUCGCUUAGGUUUACCUUGUAAUAAAUGGCCUUCCUGUCUGUACCUCAGGACUGAAAUUAAUAGGUCCAUUUCAGUGGCCCACCUGGGACUAACCCAAGGCUAUCAGAGUCCCAGUUAUAAAUGCACAUCUUUUAUGGAACGUUGCAACACAAGUAAAGGAAUUGCCUUUCCUCCACCAAACUGCACUCUGUGCCCAGAAUAUCCAGCCAGUUGGCCAGAAAGAAUGAGGCACCUGUGGCCGGCAGAGCAGGCCCGAUGCUGGCUGCAGGCUCCACUCCAUCAGCCCUGGCCACCUCCCAGCCUUCAGGCUUGGGUCCUGGUGUGUGAGCAUGAGAGCACUUCUGGAGGGCUGGAGGGCCUGGAGACACACAUUCUGGGUCCAGCCCAUGGAAUACAACUCACAAGGAACUUAAGGGACCUCUUCAAGGAAAACUACAAACCACUGCUCAAUGAAAUAAGAGAGGACACAAACAAAUGGAGAAACAUUCCAUGUUCAUGGUUAGGAAGAAUCAAUAUUAUGAAAAUGGCUAUACUGCCCAAAGUAAUUUACAGAAUCAAUGCUAUCCCCAUCAAGCUACCAUUGAAUUUCUUCACAGAACUGGAAAAAACCACCAUGAACUUCAUAUGGAGCCAAAAGAGAGCCCACAUAGCCAAGUCAAUUCUAAGCAAAAAGAACACAGCAGGGGGCAUCACACUACCAGACUUCAAACUAUACUACAAGGCUACAGUAAUCAAAACAGCAUGGUACUGGUACCAAAACAGAGAUAUAGACCAAUGGAACAGAACAGAGGCAUCGGAGGCAACACAACAUAUCUACAACCAUACAAUCUUUGAUAAACCUGACAAAAAUAAGCAAUGGGAAAGGAUUCCCUGUUUAAUAAAUGGUGUUGGGAAAACUGGCUAGCCAUAUGCAGAAAGCAGAAACUGGACCCCUUCCUGACACCUUACACUAAAAUUAACUCCAGAUGGAUUAAAGACUUAAACAUAAGACCUGGCACCAUAAAAACCCUAGAAGAAAAUCUAGGCAAAACCAUUCAGGACAUAGAAGUAGGCAAGGACUUCAUGGCCAAAACACCAAAAGCAUUGGCAACAAAAGCCAAAAUAGACAAAUGGGACCUAAUCAAACUCCACAGCUUCUGCAUGGUAAAAGAAACAGUGACUAGAGUGAAUCGGCAACCAAAAGAAUGGGAAAAAAUCUUUGCAGUUUACCCAUCUGACAAAGGGCUGAUAUCCAGAAUUUACAAAGAACUCAAACAAAUUUACAGGAAAAAAACAAACAAGCCCAUUCAAAAAUGGGCAAAGGAUAUGAACAGACACUUUACAAAAGAAGACAUACAUGAGGCCAACAAACACAUGAAAAAAUGCUCAUCAUCACUGGUCAUUAGAGAGAUGCAAAUCAAAACCACAUUGAGAUACCAUCUCAUGCCAGUUAGAAUGGUGAUCAUUAAAAAAUAUGGAGACAACAGAUGCUGGAGAGGAUGUGGAGAAAUAGGAACACUUUUACACUGUUGGUGGGAGUGCAAAUUAGUUCAACCAUUGUGGAAGACAGUGUGGCGAUUCCUCAAGGCCUUAGAAAUAGAAAUUCCAUUUGACCCAGCAAUCCCAUUACUGGGCAUAUAUCCAAAGGAUUAUAAAUCAUUCUACUAUAAGGACACAUGUACACGAAUGUUCAUUGCAGCACUGUUUACAAUAGCAAAGACCUGAAACCAACCCAAAUGCCCAUCGAUGAUAGACUGGACUGGGAAAAUGUGACACAUAUACACCAUGGAAUAUUAUGCAGCAAUCAAAAAUGAUGAGUUCAUGUCCUUUGUAGGGACAUGGAUGAAUCUGGAGAACAUAAUUCUCAGCAAACUGACACAAGAACAGAAAAUGAAAUACCACAUAUUCUCACUCAUAGGCAGGUGAGGAAAAAUGAGAACACAUGGACACAGGGAACGGGGUAC